CUGACAUAUUUCAUCAUUUAAAAACACUUCCUGUCACUGUGGUGGUUACAGUGACAUCAUGCAGUUUGUGCUUUGACCUCCAGAGGGCGACAAAUCAGCACAGACAGAGAGCUCCAUUCAAACUUUGCUGCCAUCAGGAAUAAUUCUUCAAAUAUAAUCAUCAGUGUUUGAGCAGUUAUGAUAUCAGGGACAAUCUAGACACAUGUGACAAUACUGAACAUGUCACAUGACACACCUUAAACAUCAUGUGAUCCACUCUCAGUCUGCACUUUCAUUCAUGACUUCAACAGGUUGAAAUGAGCUUUGAAGAAACAAUCAGUGAAAUAAAUCUUUCAUCACAGGAUUCAUGUGAGCAGCAGAUGAACUUUGUACCAACAACAUCUUCAAUAACAGAGUCUGAAUGAAUCUAUAGACUGGAAACAGGAUUCUUGUGAGCACCAGAUGAACUUUACAAGAAUCAGUGGAUUCAUCUUCUUUUUUAGAUCAACUUUGAUCACUUAGAUCAUCUGUUUGUUCUAACGUCUCACUCACUAACAUCUCGUAUGAUUUCAGAUCCCUGCUGUUCCCCACCUGCCCUGUAGGUGGUCUCAGAUUGUUCACACCUGCAGCUGCUACAAGGUUUCAUGUCCUUCCACCUCAGCAUGUGAACUUUACUCUGACUUAGACUCAGUCUGAGCAGUCAGGCGACAUAUUUUGAAACCAGUACAUGAAGGUGUGGCCCAAUCACAGUCUUCAGGUGGAGUCCCGCCUCCUUUCAGGAAGCAGCUCACCUGUGUGUCCAUGUUUAGUGUCCAGGUGUGGAGUGGAGCUUGUUGUUGGUGUGUGAGUUUGAAGAAACUGUAAGUUUGCUUUGUUUCCUCCUUUAACAUUUUUACUGUUUGUUUCUGCUAAUAAUGUUUGGACCAAAUGAUCACCUCUUAUUUCAGGACAAACUUUGAUAACUCUUGUGUUUGAAGACAAAUCCACAUGAUUAUAGAUUAUUGACUGACUGGAAUCGAACACUUUGAUGAACAGCUGAUGUUUCAUUGAUUUCUCCGCAAAGCAAACUGUUUUUUUUAUUUCAUGGAAGAAAAACGUUAUCUCUCCAUUAAAGUCACACACAGCAGUGUGCUUCUGUUUCCUGUCGGUCCUUUCAAAAUAAAAUGACAGUAAUGUUAGUUGUAAUGUGCUUGAUUCAGUCAGGUUAUUAAGUUCAUAUUUCCUUGAUGGAUCACUGAAUCCACUUGUGUUGCUGUUUGAGUCUCAUUAAAUCAGCCAACAGACUGCAGUGGGAGCAGCGCCCCCUUCUGGUUGCUCUAAGUGUUGCUGUGAGUCUGCAGUGAUCCUGUAAGAUGGAUUUAUGGUGGCUGUAGUGAGUCCUUCACAGCUACACACACACUUAUUGUGAGUUUAGUGUUGUCUGUGAACAAACUAGGGCUGUUAUCAUCACUAGUUUUUAUAAUCGAUUCGAUUCCGAUUCACAAGUUUCCAAUUUGACUUGAUUCAAAUCUGGAAAAUUUGGCCUCAGAAAGUCAGAAAUAUUAUAAUUCUCAUCAUUUAUUAGUACUGACACUUGUGAGACUUCAUCAGAGGUGGCAGGUGAGCAUAGGCAGAGGGCUGUGUGAGAACCAGCAGAUGAACUAAGACAGGCUUAACAGGGUGGAGUGGAGAAGUCUGAAGUUUUACUGUGAUCAAGAAAACAGCAUUAAACACAGGAAUAACUAAGACAAGGUUUAGCUUCAUUUAACGUGGCCUUGUCUAAAAAGGGUUAGCAGAUGCUCUAGCAAAGAGUGUUUGAGAAUGCUGGUCUAAAAAGCCUGCGGCGACUCCGCCCAGAAGUGGAAUCACCUCCACACUAGAAAGAUCCAGCACUCACCUGGAUCAUGACAGAUAUUUAUCAAAUGUGAAGCGCAGUUUUAAUCUUAUUUUGCUGCUGGUUCAGUAAAUUUUGGUCUGAGAGUGACAAAAUCUUCAGAAAGCUGUCGGCUUUCAGCC
Molecule: long non-coding RNA, 1974 nt
Filed under: Oreochromis niloticus (Nile tilapia)
Lineage: Eukaryota; Metazoa; Chordata; Actinopteri; Cichliformes; Cichlidae
Description: lncRNA (ENSONIG00000036399.1)
Source: RNAcentral